RNAcentral lists this ribosomal RNA (434 nucleotides) under uncultured Lachnospiraceae bacterium. RNAcentral's name for it is "bacterial SSU rRNA". It matches the Rfam family "Bacterial small subunit ribosomal RNA", at positions 341 to 792 of the family's 1533-position model. The record is from RNAcentral. Lineage: Bacteria; Bacillati; Bacillota; Clostridia; Lachnospirales; Lachnospiraceae.
ACGGAAGGCAGCAGUGGGGAAUAUUGCACAAUGGGGGAAACCCUGAUGCAGCGACGCCGCGUGAGCGAAGAAGUAUUUCGGUAUGUAAAGCUCUAUCAGCAGGGAAGAAAUUGACGGUACCUGACUAAGAAGCCCCGGCUAACUACGUGCCAGCAGCCGCGGUAAUACGUAGGGGGCAAGCGUUAUCCGGAUUUACUGGGUGUAAAGGGAGCGUAGACGGUCGUGCAAGUCUGAAGUGAAAGCUUGUGGCUUAACCAUGGAACUGCUUUGGAAACUGUACGACUAGAGUGCCGGAGGGGUAAGCGGAAUUCCUAGUGUAGCGGUGAAAUGCGUAGAUAUUAGGAAGAACACCGGUGGCGAAGGCGGCUUACUGGACGGUAACUGACGUUGAGGCUCGAAAGCGUGGGGAGCAAACAGGAUUAGAUACCCUGGUA